AAUGCCCAAGUCCUUUACUUGCUGUUGGCCAGGCUUCACCAGGAAAUGACAACAGAGCAGUGUUCGAUCCUUCAGAGCCGGGAUAAAAGCACAGAGGACUGCAAUGCAGAGCACGAGGACCGGUGGCCCUCAGAAAGCCCCGCUGGGAUGCUUCCGAAAGGCCAACACUGGGCGGGGGGAGACACUUCAGGGAGCGGAGGGUCCCUUGGGUCCUUGUCCCACGCCCCGUACAAGGGAUCAGGCAAAACGGGCUGCUCUCAGAUCUACUCUGUAGGCUGUUCACGUGGCAAUAAAUUGCUGGGUUUCCUUUGUGUUUCUAAUGGGAAAGCAAACCGACCACAAAGUAUACCCUUCCUCACCAACCCCUGCCGGGGAUCGUAAAAAGACUCCAAGGACUUAAAAGGUCAUAGGAAACGCGUGGUUCUUCUUGGUGAUUUCUGAUUCCGUGAAGGCAGUCUUGCAAGUGGCAAGUUGGUGCCACGUUAAGUAGCCCAAACAGCCCGUGAAAGAUGCGAGGUGUCUCUGGGUCCCCUGCAAAGGGCAGGGUGGGGAAUGUAGGUGGCCUCUUCCGCCUGUCAUACCUCUGGCACCACUGACCCUCCCGGCAUGAGCUGCAGAAAUCUAACUCCCCGCCCCCCACCUCCUCCCAGGCACGGUGGCCUCAGAGCUACAGGAGUGACUGUUCCUUUCCUUGUUCCCCGAUGGCCUCCUCCUUGCAGUCCUUCUCACUGCCCUGGAUAGAGGUGGCUGGGUAGUUUUCUUCAUACUCAUUCUUAAGGCUAAGGUGGCAAGAUAAGGUGCUUGGUGGAGAGCCAAAUUCUCGAUUCCAGGGCCACUUCGGCACUCGCACAUAAAGCAAAUACGGAAGAAAUGGAGAGGGGGGCGGAGAGGCAAAAAAAAAAAAAAACCCAAACCCAAACAAAAUGUAUCUGGGCUCAAUAGGAAGUUACGUACUGCAAGUUUAGAUUUCAAAUGUAGUCUCAACCCCUGAAAAUAGGGGGUGGGGGCGGGGAGUCAAAGCCACAAAUGAGCCUUCGGCCCUGGUCUGUGCUGUCCCCUCGGCCGGGGUAGCGCGUCGCCCCUAGCAGCUCUCGCCACGGGCCUCCCUCGCGGACGCCGGCUCGCAAGCGGCAGUUCCGUCCUCAUCCGAGACAAAGGACUCUGAACGCCGUCACCCCUUCCUCCCCGCAACCCCUCGGAACAAAAGCUAUACACACACACGAGUCAGAGAUCUCUACGCCAGUAGGAGAAACA
RNAcentral lists this long non-coding RNA (1254 nucleotides) under Sus scrofa (pig). Its description in RNAcentral is "lncRNA (ENSSSCG00070003999.1)". The record is from RNAcentral. Lineage: Eukaryota; Metazoa; Chordata; Mammalia; Artiodactyla; Suidae.